CCGCGUGUGUGAUGAANGCCUUCGGGUCGUANAGCACUGUGGAGGGGGAAGAAACAGCAGCGGAAUAAUACCCGACUGCCCUGACGGUACCCCUUUAGCAAGCACCGGCUAACUCCGUGCCAGCAGCCGCGGUAAUACGGAGGGUNGCAACGUUGCUCGGAAUCAUUGNGCGUANAGCGCGUGUAGGCGGUGCGUUAAGUCGGAUGUGAAAUCCCUGGGCUCAACCUANGAAUUGCGUUCGAUACUGGCGCACUAGAAUACAGGAGAGGAUAGCGGAAUUCCCGGUGUAGAGGUGAAAUUCGUAGAUUUCGGGAGGAACACCCAGUGCGAAGGCGGCUAUCUGGACUGAUAUUGACGCUGAGACGCGAAAGCGUGGGUAGCAAACAGGAUUAGAUACCCUGGUAGUCCACGCCGUAAACGAUGAGUGCUAGAAUGUCACGGGUUUGACCCCUGUGGUAUCAAAGCUAACGCAUUAAGCACUCCGCCUGGGGAGUACGGUCGCAAGAUUAAAACUCANAGGAAUUGACGGGGUGCCGCACAAGCGGUGGAGCAUGUGGUUUAAUUCGACGCAACGCGAAGA
RNAcentral lists this ribosomal RNA (580 nucleotides) under uncultured organism. RNAcentral describes it as "bacterial SSU rRNA". It matches the Rfam family "Bacterial small subunit ribosomal RNA", at positions 397 to 967 of the family's 1533-position model. The record is from RNAcentral.